RNAcentral lists this unclassified non-coding RNA (124 nucleotides) under Chryseobacterium taichungense. RNAcentral describes it as "Flavo-1 RNA". Lineage: Bacteria; Pseudomonadati; Bacteroidota; Flavobacteriia; Flavobacteriales; Weeksellaceae. The record is from RNAcentral.
CCCUAGCCCGGAUAGAAGCGGUUACCCCACAGCGGGGUUGGAGCGUUGGAGCGUAAAGGGUUUGGCGUUGGAGCACAUCGGUGAAGCUCGGCGCGAGGAGUAUGAGCGGAGAGCCGGAAAAAGC